CUCCUCGGGUGCUCUGUUUGGCGUGCGACGAAUCCUGCACCACCACCGCCAAAGCCAAGGGAAGUGUUAUUUACAUAGCUGAAAAACAAUGCAUGAUACGGUUAUAUAGACAUCUCUAGGAAAAUAAUGAAUUGCACAUGUAGAUGGAGACUAAAACGAAGAAGGCAUUAAGAAUCAAGACGAAGGUCUGGUCAUAGUAUCUAUACUCAGCCAAGAGUCUCAAAUGAAGUACCAGCCAUGACAUAGUUAAGUUUCAGUUAAAAUAUCACGUAAGAACUUCUCAACUGAACUUAAAAGAACAUACUGAGACUCACCAUUUGACACCCACUGAGAAGGUUCUCAUAUAGAUGGAUCCACGAGACAAGCUUACGAUGGGUUAGACCAAAAACAGGAAACAUUUUCCUGUCAAAGGUAUUUCAGAAUUAACGGGAGGAAAACACAGAAAAAUUACUGCCUCUUGUCUUGUCAUAAUUACAACUAUUCUACUAUCAUCAAACGGUGGACGGCCAGCCCUCCCACACAUCUAUGAAUGACUAAAAGAAGAGCCUCUGUCAGAAGCAAGGGCAUUAUCACAUACCAUUGUUUCCUAUCUGAAUUACAAAACAUAAAAUUUUAACUAAACGUAAUAAUGUAUUACAGGAUAACCAAAUCAACUUGUAUGCAUGAAAAAGAAUUUAGCGUAUCCAAUCAUUUGCGGCAACAAGACCAACUUAUAUUAUUCAAAGGAAAGUCAACAUAUAAUAAUACGGAUAUCAGCAAGGACUGCGCUAAAUUUAUUAACCUGUGUUUUAAAUUUAUAUUCAUUUGUUAAUCAGGUAAACAAGUAAAAACACCUUGAGCAACAGGCAUAUCAAUAAGGUGAAAGAAGUCCAAAUAACCCCCUGGUGUUUCACAAACCGGCCACUUUACCCCCUGAGGUCAAAAACCAGGUAUCUAACCCCCUGAGCUUUCCUAAACCGUCUAAAUCGCCCCUAGCCCUGCUUAAAGUGGUUUUUUAGAGCGGUUUUGGUGACGGGGCAAUGUGCACCUCAUUCCUGAUCUGCAUCCGGCUUCGUGGAUUCUCCUCCGAGCACACAAGUCAGUGUCGUGGCACUCCGGAAGCAUCACGUCGAUGCAUGGCAUCAGCACGUAGCUCGUAGAACUCAAGCUCCCCGGAUACAAUCAGAUACAGUACACAUAAAGACCUGAUGGAUCGGUUCCCUCCUGCACAAGCAUGCACGUACACACAAGAAGAUGUGCGAUCAUGUCUGCGCUGGAUAGGACUAACCUAAUUGUGAUUAGCUCUGACAAUGGACGUCGUCAAAUGCCGGCGGCAGCCGCAGGUGGCACCGGCGUGAGCUUGAUGAGUUGUUGUCGGCAGAGGAAGAAGCGGACGUGGCCACGGAGAGUGUUGCCAGGGAGACUACGGCGCACGGGGGAUGCGAUGGAAAGCGAGAUUGCAAGCAAGCCAGAACACAGCCGACUACUGGCUGGUGCUGCUUCCGACCAGUACCUCACCGCCGCGUUGUUGGCACGGGACCUAAGUGCCAGGGUGCAGGUCAAGCGGCGUGAAGGUCAACGACCUGAGGAUGUGAGGGAAGAGAUGAACCGUGCAGACGUGGUACUCACAACCAUGCCACGUCACCAAAACCAUCCUCAAAAACCACUCUAGGGGGCGAUUCAAAUGGUUUAGGAAAGUUCAGGGGGUUAAAUACCUGGUUUUAGACUUCAGGGGGUAAAGUGACCAGUUUGUGAAACCCCAGGGGUUAUUUGGACUUCUUUCCAAUAACGUUGGAAGGGAAAAAAUACACAACAAACUGCUUGGCGGUGCAUAUCCUUUGUUUAUUAAGAUGCUAUUUUGCAGGAGCAACUGAGACUUAAUAGCACACCUUCAGCACCAUGGAUGUUGCAUAUUCUACAUAAGAUCCCUCCUCUUCGUUGCUACAAAAUGUAUGAAAAGCAAAAAAUAUCAUAAAAGAGAACAGAGGGCAGGUAGAAUGCUGUCAUAUUAAAAAAAUAGGUUCUCAGAAAAAUUAUGUCGACCUUAUCACUACUGUAUGUGCAGGUAAGGAAGUAACUUGAGUUGUGACCUAUGAGCAAGUAUAUAUCUCAAUAGCAGGUGAAAUAAAGUCAACCUCUGAAGAUUCUUACCAUAUGUAUCUCGGCUAGAUGUCUUUGCUUCGAGCAAAUCUUUCAGUCCUUUCAUCGCCGUCACAACUUCUUCAGCUUUUCACUGUAAAACCUACGUGGAGCAGGGUAGCAUAACUAAGAAACAAGAAAACUAACAAUCUUCUGUUUCUGAUUCAAAGACGGGAGUUUAUGCAUCUCAAAAUUCUUUCCAUUUGCAUCCCUUCUUCAGCCAUACGGUUGCCGGAGCGCAGCCCCUGCCAUCAACCAACUCCGGUUGGACCAGCCUGCAAAAGCCCAUGCGCUAGGAUUACAGCCAUGACAACUAAAGACCACAAUGAUCAUCACUUCUAAACACCUGACAUGGUGUGAGAAUUUAGGAGCGGAUAGCACGCAGGCAUGAACCACAGUUGUAUAGAUGACUGAGAGGGUGGUCAGGGACGACAGACUUGCUAACGGCUAGGAGCAACAACCAGUUAAUUGUAGAUAAGAAAAUAGUUAACCUUUGAAGAAAAUUAUGAAAAAAUUGCAGUGUCAUGCACAGCCAGCAACAAUAAAUAGCUAACUAAGAAUUCAUGGAAGACUUAUCCUACGCUAAACUAAAAGCUAGUUAGAACUAUAAACAUGCAAGCUCUCACAUUAAUUCGAACUGCUAACCUCAAAUAUGAGAUCCUGAAGAAUGAAUGCCGUAUGGUGAUGACUGCCAAUAUGGUAAAUACAUGUAUUUGUUAAGGUACCUAUAAACUAAAGGCAAGAAAACUGACAAUUUUGAGAUCAGGGAACCCAUUCUGAGUAGGCCUUGUACCAAAUCAAAUGAACAAACAAAAAUUAUGCAGGGGAAUGGAUCUGUGGUUGCCGGAUUCGCCACCCAUCAUCUGCAGGUUACAGAGAGUACCAAGAAUCUGUGUGAGUGUGUGGCAGUCACCACCACAUUGGCACACCAUUAGUCACGGUCCAAGCGUACAGUUUGAUCUGCUCAGCCUCGCCACCGCAAACACCCAACACAACCAUUAGAACUCUACAAUCCUUGCAGUUAUUUUAAAUCCUAAGAAUGCAAGAAACUUACCAAAACAACAGAUUGAUUAAAAUGCUUCACCCAUGGUCUUGGACUCUGGUGUCAACAUACUCCUCAAUUGACUUCCUCUGUCAGACAAACCUGGAACAGACAAACUAUAUCGCUAUGAAUUAACAUGAUUGAGGCAAGCACUGAGCAGAGGAGAGAAAAAAUAUCUGAAAGAAACUGCUACCAUCUUUUGCUUGUUCUCGCAAAGAAUUCAAUCCAUAGUAUGCCAAGAAGCUAUGAAAAAUUUGCAAUUGCUUCAAAGAAUAUAAUACAUUGCAGAAAUAAAAUACUCUAUUAGAGAGAUGGCAGGCGAGGUAGUAGGGACAAGAGCAAGAACUAACUUUGAGAGGAGAUGGGCAGACUCUUGCGUCGUGCCCUGGCUGACCCCUACGCUUACGCCAUGCCUCAUUUAUCUAUUCCUCAUUCCUCCGUGCUGUGAUAGAAAUUCAGAAUGGCAAAUAAAAGUAUUCUUAGAUUGCAGCCUUAAUUUCUUAUCCUUUAGUAGAUGCACAUUUGAUUCUGAAGGAAGAAGAUGGGAAAUAUGCAUAUAGCAAGGAAUAGUAAACAGAUUGUUCUUUCAAACUUGCAUGACUAUUUGUUUUUUUGGUAAACAUGCCAAUCUACUGCCAUCUCGCUGGCCUUAACUUCUUACCUUUUCAUAGAUGCAAAUUUGAUUUUGAGCAAGUAGAGAAGCAAUAUACGAUAACAUACAUCAAGAAAUAGUAGAUGAAUGCUCUUUUCAGCCUUAAUUCUUUUCAGCAUAUAUACGACCAUUGUUUUUUCCUGUAAAUACACUGAUGUACUACCAUCUCAUUGCAAAUUAUGUAUUGUGCCAAGGAAAAAUCGUAUUAAUUUUCAGCAUAUAUAUAGCAACGAUGUAUUCCCCAGCACAUUGAGGGAGAAAAGGGGAAACACAUGGUCUGUGAGGAGAACGAACAACCACAGUCAUGAAGGACCAACGGAUCUCACACGUACCUCAACCAGCUUGCCGGGGGAGCCGCCUCCAUGACGAACCACGACGGCCUCCUCCAUCUCCCCAGCAGCUCAAGCCCACCGCAACCAACCCGUUGCUUCUUGUCCUCGGCACCUAUCUCCCCUGCUCCUUGCAACGAUGGCGGCACGGGAGAGAGAGAGAGGAGGAGGAGGAGAGGUGGGAGCGCAAAGAUCUGCGCCCGAUCCAGAAUCACGGCACGCAGCGAGUGAUGCCGGCGACCUGCGCCCGACCCGGCUGGACCGAGAACUGCCGCACCCGCUGUUGCAUCUCGAGCGCCGGGGAGAGAAGGCCGCGUCGGCCGCUGCGUGGAGCCGGCGGCGCGACGGUAGGGAAGGAGGGGAUCGGGGGAGGGGCGGAGAGCACGGGGGAGAAAGCAAGAAUAAAUAAUACUUUAUGUACCAGACAAAAGAUCGGAGAUUGCCAUGAGACGGCGCGAG
RNAcentral lists this long non-coding RNA (4600 nucleotides) under Triticum aestivum (bread wheat). Its description in RNAcentral is "long non-coding RNA (TAES_LNC004935)". The record is from RNAcentral. Lineage: Eukaryota; Viridiplantae; Streptophyta; Magnoliopsida; Poales; Poaceae.